AUUGAACGCUGGCGGAAUGCUUUACACAUGCAAGUCGAACGGCAGCACGGACUUCGGUCUGGUGGCGAGUGGCGAACGGGUGAGUAAUGUAUCGGAACGUGCCCAGUCGUGGGGGAUAACGUAGUGAAAAUUACGCUAAUACCGCAUACGAUCUAUGGAUGAAAGCGGGGGAUCGCAAGACCUCGCGCGAUUGGAGCGGCCGAUAUCAAAUUAGGUAGUUGGUGGGGUAAAGGCCCACCAAGCCAACGAUCUGUAGCUGGUCUGGGAGGGCGACCAGCCACACUGGAACUGAGACACGGUCCAGACUCCUACGGGAGGCAGCAGUGGGGAAUUUUGGACAAUGGGCGAAAGCCUGAUCCAGCCAUUCCGCGUGCAGGAUGAAGGCCCUCGGGUUGUAAACUGCUUUUGUACAGAACGAAAAGGUUUCUACUAAUACUAGGAGCUCAUGACGGUACUGUAAGAAUAAGCACCGGCUAACUACGUGCCAGCCGCCGCCGUAA
Molecule: ribosomal RNA, 500 nt
Filed under: uncultured bacterium
Lineage: Bacteria
Description: partial 16S ribosomal RNA
Rfam family: Bacterial small subunit ribosomal RNA
Source: RNAcentral